This 245-nucleotide ribosomal RNA is filed under the name uncultured bacterium. Its description in RNAcentral is "partial 16S ribosomal RNA". It matches the Rfam family "Bacterial small subunit ribosomal RNA", at positions 524 to 768 of the family's 1533-position model. The record is from RNAcentral.
UACGUAGGAGGCAAGCGUUGUCCGGAGUUACUGGGCGUAAAGCGCACGCAGGCGGUCUGGUCAGUCUAGAGGGACAGGGUCCGGCUCAACCGGGUCAGGCUUCUGGAAACUGCCAGACUUGAGGGCUUCAGAGGGAUGGGGAAUUCCGGGUGGAGUGGUGAAAUGCGUAGAGAUCCGGAAGAACACCAAAGGCGAAGGCACCAUCCUGGGAAGUCACUGACGCUCGGGUGCGAAAGCCAGGGGAG